Molecule: long non-coding RNA, 870 nt
Filed under: Triticum aestivum (bread wheat)
Lineage: Eukaryota; Viridiplantae; Streptophyta; Magnoliopsida; Poales; Poaceae
Description: long non-coding RNA (TAES_LNC012905)
Source: RNAcentral
AAACAAAUUUUUCCAGAUGAUCAAAAUCCACAUAAAGAUGGAAGCAAUUUUUCUCAAGACAGCACAACAACAAGGUUGAAUUAACUCCAUACAUUUUAGACUGACACUGGUACCUCAUGAGCAUAAUACAGAUAAACACCGGCAAGGGCACAAAUGUUUCCUUCUGGAGAUUGUACAAGCAGGACAAACAGAUGAACUAAUUUUCAGUCUGAAACCAAAUUCUUUCCAGAUGAUCCAAACCACAAGACGAUGGCUAGCAACAAGGUUUAAUCAACCCCACCUUAUGAUCAUAGCAUAGGAGGGGUAUGUGAAGAAGAUUAAACAGCAAACCCAAGUUAACAACAGCAACUUCAUUGUUCUCCAAGACAGCAUAGCAACAAGGUUUAAUUAACUCCAUUCAUUUGAGACUGACACUGAUGUCUUAUGAUCAUAGCGCAAUAAAAGGAGAUAAUCUGAAGCUUAAACAUAUCACUGGAGGAAGACAAGAAGAGCAUAUUAUGGGGGCUACUACUCGAACUUCUUGAUGAGGGAGAGGUCGUUGAGCAUCUUGUCGACCCGGUCGUCGCUGUCGAACCUGCCGCCGGGGACGAGGGAGGGGACGAGCGCCUUGGCCUCGUCGGCGGUGUCGGGGCAGAGGUUCCCGAGGGUGCAGAGCUCGAACUCGACGAGGCUGUAGCGGGAGAGCGUCUCGCGGACCUGGCGGACCGCGUCGGGGUUCUUGUAGCGGCUGAAGCGCUUGACGUAGGCCUGCGACUUCUCGAAGACCUGCGAGACCUGGUCGGCGCCGCCGUCCGACAUGUGCUGCAGCUGCUCCCACUUGUGCUCCAGGAUUAUCGCCACCUCGCAGUUCAUCAGGCACUUGGCCUUCAG